Bos taurus (domestic cattle) is the source of this 535-nucleotide long non-coding RNA. NCBI's taxonomy places the organism in Eukaryota, Metazoa, Chordata, Mammalia, Artiodactyla, Bovidae. The record is from Ensembl.
UAACAAAGCACCACAGACUGGGUGGUUUAAACAACAGACAUUUAUUUCUUACAGUUCUGGAGGCAGGGAAGUCCAAGUUCAAGGUGCUGGCCAAUUUGGUUCCUGCCCACCUCAGCUAGCUGUUAUGGAGAAUGUUUGUGUGAGCAAAUGUCAUAACCGCCAAGAGUCUGGACUCCAAGAUAAUGACAGGCAUUUCUAUUCCCUGAGACACAGCAAUAUUGAAAUUAGGACAAUGAAUAAUGCUAUGAUAGUCUCCAACUGUUCAAGUGAAAGAAAGAGUUCAGCAUCUCUCGCUUUAAAUCAAAAGCCAGAAAUGAUUAGGCUUAGUGAGAGGAAAAGAUUCUGAUGCUGGGAAAGAUUGAAGGCAGAAGGAGAAGGGGACGACAGAGGAUGAGAUGGUUGGAUGGCAUUGCUGACUUAAUGGACACGAGUUUGAGCAAACUCUAGGAGACAGUAAAGGACGGGGAAGCCUGGCAUGCUAUGGUCCACGGGAUCAGAGAGUUGAACGCGACUUAGCGAUGGAACAACAACGGUG